UACGUAGGGGGCAAGCGUUGUCCGGAAUCAUUGGGCGUAAAGAGCGUGUAGGCGGCUCGGUAAGUCCGCUGUGAAAGUCCAGGGCUCAACCCUGGAAUGCCGGUGGAAACUGUCGAGCUAGAGUCCGGAAGAGGCGAGUGGAGUUCCUGGUGUAGCGGUGAAAUGCGCAGAUAUCAGGAGGAACACCAAUGGCGAAGGCAGCUCGCUGGGACGGUACUGACGCUGAGACGCGAAAGCGUGGGGAGCAAACAGG
This 253-nucleotide ribosomal RNA is filed under the name uncultured bacterium. Its description in RNAcentral is "partial 16S ribosomal RNA". It matches the Rfam family "Bacterial small subunit ribosomal RNA", at positions 524 to 776 of the family's 1533-position model. The record is from RNAcentral.